RNAcentral lists this transfer RNA (70 nucleotides) under Dipodomys ordii (Ord's kangaroo rat). It matches the Rfam family "tRNA". Rfam says of the family: Transfer RNA (tRNA) molecules are approximately 80 nucleotides in length. Their secondary structure includes four short double-helical elements and three loops (D, anti-codon, and T loops). The record is from Rfam by way of RNAcentral. Lineage: Eukaryota; Metazoa; Chordata; Mammalia; Rodentia; Heteromyidae.
GGGAAGUUGGCUCAGAGGUAGAGUGCUUGCCUCCCAUGCAUGAGGUCCUGAGUUGGAUUUCUUAGACCCA